GACGAACGCUGGCGGCGUGCCUAAUACAUGCAAGUCGAACGCUGGAGAUCUAGCUUGCUAGAUCGAAGGAGUGGCGAACGGGUGAGUAAUACAUAAGCAACCUACCCACGAAGACUGGGAUAAUCUCUGGAAACGGGGACUAAUACCGGAUAGGUAAUCGGAAGGCAUCUUCUGAUUAUUAAAGGUUAAAAACACUGGUGGAUGGGCUUAUGGCGCAUUAGUUAGUUGGUGAGGUAACGGCCCACCAAGACGAUGAUGCGUAGCCGGCCUGAGAGGGUGAACGGCCACAUUGGGACUGAGACACGGCCCAGACUCCUACGGGAGGCAGCAGUAGGGAAUUUUCGGCAAUGGGGGAAACCCUGACCGAGCAACGCCGCGUGAGUGAUGACGGCCUUCGGGUUGUAAAGCUCUGUUGUAAGGGAAGAACGGUAGAUAGAGAAUAUCUAAGUGACGGUACCUUACCAGAAAGCCACGGCUAACUACGUGCCAGCAGCCGCGGUAAUACGUAGGUGGCGAGCGUUAUCCGGAAUUAUUGGGCGUAAAGGGUGCGUAGGCGGCCUGUUAAGUAAGUGGUUAAAUUGUUGGGCUCAACCCAAUCCAGCCACUUAAACUGGCAGGCUAGAGUAUUGGAGAGGCAAGUGGAAUUCCAUGUGUAGCGGUAAAAUGCGUAGAUAUAUGGAGGAACACCAGUGGCGAAGGCGGCUUGCUAGCCAGAGACUGACGCUCAUGCACGAAAGCGUGGGGAGCAAAUAGG
RNAcentral lists this ribosomal RNA (754 nucleotides) under uncultured Bulleidia sp. Its description in RNAcentral is "bacterial SSU rRNA". It matches the Rfam family "Bacterial small subunit ribosomal RNA", at positions 28 to 776 of the family's 1533-position model. Lineage: Bacteria; Bacillati; Bacillota; Erysipelotrichia; Erysipelotrichales; Erysipelotrichaceae. The record is from RNAcentral.